AAUGGCCGCAGUAUCUUGACUGUGCAAAGGUAGCAUAAUCAUUAGUUUCUUAAUUAGAAACUGGAAUGAAAGGUUGGACGAGAAAAUAACUGUCUCUUUAUAAAUUUUUUAGAAUUUUAUUUUUAAGUUAAAAAGCUUAAUUUUUUUUAAAAGACGAGAAGACCCUAUAGAGUUUUAUAAUUUUUUUUAUUAAUAAUUUAUUUUGAAUUAUUUAAAUUUUAAUACUAAUAUUAUUUAAUUGGGGUGAUUAAAAAAUUUAAAUAACUUUUUUUUAAUAAAAACAUAAAUUUAUGAAUUAUUGAUCCAUUAAUUAAUGAUUAUAAGAUUAAAUUACCUUAGGGAUAACAGCGUAAUUUCUUUUAAGAGUUCUAAUCGAUAAAGAAGUUUGCGACCUCGAUGUUGGAUUAAAAUUAAAGUUUGGUGUAGAAGCUAAAUUCUUAGGUCUGUUCGACCUUUAAAAUUUUACAUGAUCUGAGUUUAAACCGGUGUGAGCCAGGUUGGUUUCUAUCUUUAAAAUAUAUAAAUAUUUUAGUACGAAAGGACCAAGUAUUUUUAAUAAUUAUUUUAUAUGAAUUUUAAUAAUUUA
RNAcentral lists this ribosomal RNA (586 nucleotides) under Iotarphia australis. RNAcentral describes it as "partial 16S ribosomal RNA". It matches the Rfam family "Bacterial large subunit ribosomal RNA", at positions 1926 to 2739 of the family's 2925-position model. The record is from RNAcentral. Lineage: Eukaryota; Metazoa; Arthropoda; Insecta; Coleoptera; Staphylinidae.